UGCAUCAGUAGUGCGAGCUGACGAAUCUACUCAGUAUGGAUGCAACGUCGGAUAUUUCCUGAUGGGCAAUGACACGGCUAUAUGCAAUGGCAACAAUGGCAGUUUGAGUUUCAUGCAAAAGCCCACUUGUCAUUACUUCAACUGCCUUGUUCCUGGGAUACCGGAUGGCCGGCCGAGUUCCUCAGAAUUGAACGCUAAUGAAUCUGCUGUAUAUUCAUGCAACACCGGGUACUUCCUGUUGGGCAAUCCCUCGAUUACAUGUUAUGGCUUUGGUCGCUUGAGUACCAGUGAAACGCCGUCAUGCUAUCCUUCACCGCCGACCGAAUACCGUUACUGU
Molecule: long non-coding RNA, 337 nt
Organism: Sycon ciliatum
Lineage: Eukaryota; Metazoa; Porifera; Calcarea; Leucosolenida; Sycettidae
Exons: 3
Source: RefSeq, a predicted model, not a curated record